CAACUUCGUACGAGUGUUCAAUACCCUUCAUUUCCAACUCUGUGCAUUUUUUGGGUGUACAAUAUGAAAAUAUUGUGUACCCGUUACCAUAAACACUAGUUAAAGUAUGUAAACUAAAUAUAUAAUAAAUAAAAACUUUCAACAACGGAUCUCUUGGCUCUCGCAUCGAUGAAGAACGCAGCGAAAUGUGAUAAGUAAUGUGAAUUGCAGAAUUCAGUGAAUCAUCGAAUCUUUGAACGCACCUUGCACUCUUUGGUAUUCCGAAGAGUAUGUCUGUUUGAGUGUCAUGAACUCUUCAACUGGCCAUAUUUUAUUAUAUAGCCAGCUUGGUUUCUGAGGAUAUGUUUUAUACAAACUCCCUCGUAAUAAAUUAGCCAAUCUUAUUUCCAACUCGAAAUUGACUCUGUGUAAUAGACUAUUCGCAGAGGAGAGAUGGAUGGAUAGGCUUCCAACCUAAUUAGUCAACUUUUGA
RNAcentral lists this unclassified non-coding RNA (472 nucleotides) under Rhodotorula sp. M14. RNAcentral describes it as "sequence contains ITS1, 5.8S rRNA gene, ITS2". The stretch from base 134 to 287 matches the Rfam family "5.8S ribosomal RNA". The record is from RNAcentral. Lineage: Eukaryota; Fungi; Basidiomycota; Microbotryomycetes; Sporidiobolales; Sporidiobolaceae.